Molecule: non-coding RNA, 1162 nt
Organism: Paramuricea clavata
Lineage: Eukaryota; Metazoa; Cnidaria; Anthozoa; Malacalcyonacea; Plexauridae
Source: the annotation of a GenBank genome assembly
AAAAAUUGCUUCAAAGCUAAUAGUGUAAAACGUAAUUUUCCAAAUAUAUGUUUUUGAAAAUUGAAAUCUUGCUUUAAUAUCCUCAGUGUGCUUAUCACACUCCUGGCAAACAGCCAUAUUUUUUAGAUCAGUGAGGAGGUCCACCCAUGAACCAUAGUCACGCGCCCGCGAUCAUUGGUGAACUUUACACUUCGCUAAUACUUUUCUUUCCCCGGGUGUAAAUAGCCGGGCGGAAUUAGUACCCUCACCCUGGGCUAACGCCCGGAAGCGCCGUUAAUUGGCUCCGGGAUUAGAAAAGUGAAACGUGUCCAGCGUCGUACGGCUAAGUACAUACUAAAGUUGCCGUUCUCCUGUGAACAAUCGUAUAAAAAUAGACUUCUUGAACUAAAACUUCUCCCAUUAACCAACGGGCAUGAAUUUUUAGAUAUGUUUUUCCUCAAAAUUGUCAAUGGACUCGUAGACAUCAACCCAGACUUUACACCGGAAGUCCGGAAUGCACGCCCUACUAGAUCUACUAGUAACUGUCCAAUACUUUUUCCGCAAAUGUAAGAAUUCCUCUACCUUUCAAAAAAAAAUUAACAGGUCUUCCCGUGUGUGGAAUUCCCUAGCAAACACUAUUGACAAUUUUAAUACUACUGGGGCCGAUUGUUCAAAGCUGGGUUAGCUUAACCCUAGGUUAACUUAAAAUUCAAAGCAAACUUCCUGACAGCUUGUCUAUAAAUUUGGAAAUAUUUCUUCAGAGAUCUUGUCUGGAUCGAUAGGAACUCUGAAGUUUUGAAAUAAACAGACGUACGGAAAUACACAAACUAAAACAGCAGGUUAAAUUUUAACCCAGGGUUAGCGCUAAUCCACCUUUGAACAACCGGCCCCUGAUCUACGCUUCUUCCGUAGAAUUCUAUCGUAUGACCCUGAAGACACACGCACUUGGAAAACCAUAUGUAUGCAUGUCGUGCAACUCACCACGUAGCCUAGUGUCCUCUAUAGUAUGUUGUUUCUAGAUAUUUUUUUAUUAUUUGUAUAUUAGCCAUUACUUGUGUAUUUUAUGUGUUGGGGCCGUAGUAAAUGGCAAAUGUUGCAACUCAAAUGUUGCCGAGAUCUGGUAUGAAGAGAACUGUCAUGGCUUCUUGAACAACGUUCGCUUACAAUUAUACUAUAAUCCAUC